CAUUAGCACGUCUGGGUGUGGGAGUUGAUUGACUAUGAACUAUUAUAAUGCAUCAGAAUGUUUAUUGGGAUGCUGAGCAGGUGUAAAAAUAAAUAAAUAAAGACAAACCAACAAAUUAGCAGAGGUAUUCAGAAUUAAGCUCCACUUUCCCACUGUUUGCAUUGCAGUUCACAGUGUACUGUAAUAUAAAUCAAAGGUCCCCAACUCAGUAAUGGGAAUUAAUUUGAAAGGUACCGUUCACAGUAUUAAUUAUGUGGUGCACCGCUUAUGUGAAAGCAGGAAACAAGUCACACAGCAUCACUUGAGUAGAACCGCUAUCGGAUUCAACCUGUUGCUAGGAGGGAAACUAAAGGCUUUUGCCGCUGCUGCGGUGUUCAAGUGGUGUCGGACAUUACAGUGUUAAAAACCACGUCAAAGAAAACACACGCAACAUACAGUCUCUAGCUCGAAAAAUAAAUAAAAUUAUAAAAUAGCUAAGCCUCUGUUAUUUUCUGAGAUAAUGUGCACAUACAAUAGUUCUUUUUUUUAUUUUUUAAAUUUAUUUUUUAAAGUUGUUUUACGUCCGUACGAUACCAUUUUCCAUCUGGCAACACAGUGUAGCAGCAGCAUUUCUUCACCAGACCCUCUUUAGUCAAACCUGCUGUGCAAAGUUCCGCUCUCCGUCUCUCUCUCUCUCUCUCCCGUUUCCGCGCGGACGCCGAGGCCGCUCGCAGCAGCGCCGUAGCCAUGGAGACGCGCAAUUACCCGCGAUGCCAACAAUUCACGCUGAAUAAUUUUACCAGCGACCGGACGGGCGCGCGGGGCUGCGGGAACCUCCCCCUCGGCCGCUGUUACCCGCGUCUCCUCCCUCACCUACUGUAGCUCGCCCCGGUUCAGCGCUCAUCCGCCACGUGUUCCAUUCAUGAAACAGACGAUUAUGACGUUUUGCAAGAGAAAUAACCAGACCAGAGUCCAGCUGCUGUCACCCUGCAUCUGCCCCCCCCCCCCGCCUCAAACCAAAGCAAUGAGAUCACGCCGCCUCUUCCAUCUUACUUUGUCAACAUACAGCUGUGCAUCCCACCUCCUCUCUGCUCACAGCUGGGUCCUGCAGGGCGCUCCAGGCAGGUCAACUACCAUCACGGUCCUGAAGGCUGAUGCAGGUCCAAGUCACAGCGACGCCCCUGUUGCCUUUCCGUGCAGACGACACAGAUUUCCAACAUUAUUGUGCCAGAUCCACUCAGAAGCUUUUCCCUGAGCCCGCAAUCUCCUUUCCCUUUUGAACAUUAAGAUUUAAAGUCCGACCCGCGGCUUCAUGCUGCCAGUGUUUAGCUGCACUACAAAAGCGCUGUUUGUCAAAGCUAUUUGGGUGUUAUUGUUCCCUAACUCCUCCUCUUCCUUCACAUAUCCCUUUUUCAUGCAAUGUUAAGCAACAAAAAGUCGCACAGCUGGGAGAGGGAAUCUGUCAACACAAAGUCCAAACUACUGUAUACUAACUGUGUGAAUCUCCUGGUUUUUAGCAGACUUGAGAGCACUAAUCCAAAUCUGGCAGCCUGUUCACUUGCCAACAUUAACAUCACACUAAGGAUGAGUCAGAUAUAAAAUAAAUAUGCAUCUAUUUUUACCUCA
RNAcentral lists this long non-coding RNA (1605 nucleotides) under Betta splendens (Siamese fighting fish). Its description in RNAcentral is "lncRNA (ENSBSLG00000025007.1)". Lineage: Eukaryota; Metazoa; Chordata; Actinopteri; Anabantiformes; Osphronemidae. The record is from RNAcentral.